This 205-nucleotide microRNA precursor is filed under the name Oryza sativa Japonica Group (Japanese rice). RNAcentral describes it as "MIR812 microRNA precursor family". It matches the Rfam family "MIR812 microRNA precursor family". The record is from Rfam by way of RNAcentral. Lineage: Eukaryota; Viridiplantae; Streptophyta; Magnoliopsida; Poales; Poaceae.
AAAAAGACAAACCCUAGUUUCCGUGUCCAAUAUUUAACCGUCCGUCUUAUUUAAAAAAAUUAUGAAAAGAAUUAAAAAGACAAGUCACGCAUAAAAUAUUAAUCAUGUUUUAUCAUCUAGCAACAAUGAAAAUACGAAUUAUAAAAAAAAUUUAUAUAAGACGGACAGUUAAAGUUGGACACGGAAACCCAAUGUUUGCCUUCUU